RNAcentral lists this transfer RNA (86 nucleotides) under Bacillota bacterium. RNAcentral's name for it is "Firmicutes bacterium (anaerobic digester metagenome) tRNA-Tyr". It matches the Rfam family "tRNA". From Rfam's summary of the family: Transfer RNA (tRNA) molecules are approximately 80 nucleotides in length. Their secondary structure includes four short double-helical elements and three loops (D, anti-codon, and T loops). The record is from RNAcentral. Lineage: Bacteria; Bacillati; Bacillota. RNAcentral also lists the same sequence under 1 other name.
GGAGGGAUACCCAAGUUGGCCAAAGGGGGCAGACUGUAAAUCUGUUGGCAACGCCUUCGAAGGUUCGAAUCCUUCUCCCUCCACCA